UACGUAGGUGGCAAGCGUUGUCCGGAAUCACUGGGCGUAAAGCGCACGUAGGCGGCUUUUUAAGUCAGGGGUGAAAUCCUGGAGCUCAACUCCAGAACUGCCUUUGAUACUGAGAAGCUUGAGUCCGGGAGAGGUGAGUGGAACUGCGAGUGUAGAGGUGAAAUUCGUAGAUAUUCGCAAGAACACCAGUGGCGAAGGCGGCUCACUGGCCCGGUACUGACGCUGAGGUGCGAAAGCGUGGGGAGCAAACAGG
RNAcentral lists this ribosomal RNA (253 nucleotides) under uncultured bacterium. Its description in RNAcentral is "partial 16S ribosomal RNA". It matches the Rfam family "Bacterial small subunit ribosomal RNA", at positions 524 to 776 of the family's 1533-position model. The record is from RNAcentral.